Molecule: ribosomal RNA, 463 nt
Filed under: uncultured bacterium
Lineage: Bacteria
Description: partial 16S ribosomal RNA
Rfam family: Bacterial small subunit ribosomal RNA
Source: RNAcentral
GACGAACGCUGGCGGCGUGCUUAACACAUGCAAGUCGAGCGGAAAGGCCACUUCUGUGGUACUCGAGCGGCGCACGGGCGAGUAACACGUGCGUAAUCUGCCCCUCACUUUGGGAUAGCCACCGGAAACGGUGAUUAAUACCGGCUAUGACCAUAUGUCGCAUGGCGUGUGGUGGAAAGUUUUUCGGUGAGGGAUGUGCUCGCGGCCUAUCAGCUUGGUGGUGGGGUAAUGGCUCACCAUGGCUUCGACGGGUAGCCGGCCUGAGAGGGUGACCGGUCACACUGGGACUGAGACGCGGCCCAGACUCCUACGGGAGGCAGCAGUGGGGAAUAUUGGACAAUGGGCGGAAGCCUGAUCCAGCAACGCCGCGUGGGGGAUGACGGCCUUCGGGUUGUAAACCUCUUUCAGUACCGACGAAGCGCAAGUGACGGUAGGUACAGAAGAAGCACCGGCCAACUACGUG